Molecule: ribosomal RNA, 318 nt
Filed under: uncultured fungus
Lineage: Eukaryota; Fungi
Description: eukaryotic LSU rRNA
Source: RNAcentral
AACGCACUUUGCGCUCUUUGGUAUUCCGAAGAGCACGCCUGUUUGAGUAUCAGUAAAUACCUCAAAAUUCAAUUUAGUUUUCUAAAUUGUACUUUUGGACUUGAGCAAUAUCUCAGUAAGUUUACUUAUCGAGUUGCUUGAAAUAUAGGUGUGGCAAGUUGAGAAAACUUGGCAAAAGCGUAAUUAAUUAGCCUUUCUUUUUUGAAUGGUUAUACCUUUUUCGCUGAAGCUAUUAAAAGUUGGCUCUAUUUUUGCUCGCUAAAACACAAAUUUUAUGAACUUGAUCUCAAAUCAGGUGGGAUUACCCGCUGAACUUAA